GAGUUUGAUCCUGGCUCAGGAUGAACGCUGGCGGCGUGCCUAACACAUGCAAGUCGAGCGGAGCAAUCUUGAUGAAGUUUUCGGAUGGAAUCAGGAUUGACUUAGCGGCGGACGGGUGAGUAACACGUGGAUAACCUGCCUUAUACUGGGGGAUAACAGCCAGAAAUGGCUGCUAAUACCGCAUAAGCGCACGGCGCCGCAUGGCGCAGUGUGAAAAACUCCGGUGGUAUAAGAUGGAUCCGCGCCUGAUUAGCUAGUUGGCGGGGCAGCGGCCCACCAAGGCGACGAUCAGUAGCCGGCCUGAGAGGGCGACCGGCCACAUUGGGACUGAGACACGGCCCAAACUCCUACGGGAGGCAGCAGUGGGGAAUAUUGCACAAUGGGGGGAACCCUGAUGCAGCGACGCCGCGUGAGUGAAGAAGUAUUUCGGUAUGUAAAGCUCUAUCAGCAGGGAAGAAGAUGACGGUACCUGACUAAGAAGCCCCGGCUAACUACGUGCCAGCAGCCGCGGUAAUACGUAGGGGGCAAGCGUUAUCCGGAUUUACUGGGUGUAAAGGGAGCGUAGACGGCAGGGCAAGUCUGGAGUGAAAGCCCGGGGCCCAACCCCGGGACUGCUUUGGAAACUGCCAUGCUAGAGUGCUGGAGAGGUAAGCGGAAUUCCUAGUGUAGCGGUGAAAUGCGUAGAUAUUAGGAGGAACACCAGUGGCGAAGGCGGCUUACUGGACAGUAACUGA
Molecule: ribosomal RNA, 734 nt
Filed under: uncultured bacterium
Lineage: Bacteria
Description: bacterial SSU rRNA
Rfam family: Bacterial small subunit ribosomal RNA
Source: RNAcentral